This 253-nucleotide ribosomal RNA is filed under the name uncultured bacterium. Its description in RNAcentral is "partial 16S ribosomal RNA". It matches the Rfam family "Bacterial small subunit ribosomal RNA", at positions 524 to 776 of the family's 1533-position model. The record is from RNAcentral.
UACGUAGGGGGCUAGCGUUGUCCGGAAUCAUUGGGCGUAAAGCGCGUGUAGGCGGCCCGGUAAGUCCGCUGUGAAAGUCCAGGGCUCAACCCUGGGAUGCCGGUGGAUACUGUCGGGCUCGAGUCCGGAAGAGGCGAGUGGAAUUCCUGGUGUAGCGGUGAAAUGCGCAGAUAUCAGGAGGAACACCAAUGGCGAAGGCAGCUCGCUGGGACGGUACUGACGCUGAGACGCGAAAGCGUGGGGAGCGAACAGG